This 780-nucleotide ribosomal RNA is filed under the name uncultured Neocallimastigales. RNAcentral's name for it is "partial large subunit ribosomal RNA". It matches the Rfam family "Eukaryotic large subunit ribosomal RNA", at positions 1 to 645 of the family's 3401-position model. Lineage: Eukaryota; Fungi; Neocallimastigomycota; Neocallimastigomycetes; Neocallimastigales. The record is from RNAcentral.
AGAGAGAGACAUGCGCGCAUAUCAAAUAAGCGGAGGAAAAGAAACUAACUAAGGAUUCCCUCAGUAACGGCGAGUGAAGCGGGAAGAGCUCAAAUUUGAAAUCUUCAAGGUUCUACCUUGACGAAUUGUAGUUUAAAGAAGUGUUUUCUGUUGGAGUUUUGGUAAAAGUUCUUUGGAAUAGGACAUCAUAGAGGGUGAGAAUCCCGUAUUUGACCAUUAUUUCCAGCUUUGUGAUACACUUUCAAAGAGUCGGAUUGUUUGGGAAUGCAGUCCAAAAUGGGUGGUAAAUUUCAUCUAAAGCUAAAUACUGGCGAGAGACCGAUAGCGAACAAGUACCGUGAGGGAAAGAUGAAAAGAACUUUGAAAAGAGAGUUAAACAGUACGUGAAAUUGUCAAAAGGGAAGCGUUUGACACCAGUGUUGUUUUCUCGAAAAUCAAUUAAAAAGAGUCAGGAUUUUGUGUUGUAUUGACCUUAAUCAGCUUCUGCACUUCAAUUUUCUUGUCUUUUUUAAUGCACUUUUCGUUUAACAAGUCAACAUCAAUUUCUUUUGUUGUAAAAGGGUCAUUGGAAGGUGGCUUUCUUUUCGGAGAAAGUGUUUAUAGCCUUUGGCCUCUGCAAUCGGAGAGAUUGAGGUCUGCAGCGUAGAUCCUUCGGGGUUAAAUAGCAUUUGUGCUAAGUUAUAGCCUUUCAUAGACAACUUGUUGACUAUGAUCAGUCAUGUAGCUUACUCGCUUAUGCUAUUUUACCUACGCUUAGGAUGUUGAUGUGAUACUGCGAGC